CCUACGGGCGGCUGCAGUGGGGAAUAUUGCACAAUGGGGGAAACCCUGAUGCAGCGACGCCGCGUGAGCGAGGAAGUAUUUCGGUAUGUAAAGCUCUAUCUGCAGGGACGAAAAAAGACGGUACCUGACUAAGAAGCCCCGGCUAAAUACGUGCCAGCAGCCGCGGUAAUACGUAGGGGGCAAGCGUUAUCCGGAUUUACUGGGUGUAAAGGGAGCGUAGGCGGUAAGGCAAGCCAGAAGUGAAAGGGUAGGUCUCAACUCUGGACACGCUUUUGAAACUGUGGUGCUAGAGUGCAGGAGAGGUAAGUGGAAUGCCUAGUGUAGCGGUGAAAUGCGUAGAUAUUAGGAGGAACACCAGUGGCGAAGGCGGCUUACUGGACUGCAACUGACGUUGAGGCUCGAAAGCGUGGGGAGCAAACAGGAUUAGAUACCCUGGUAGUC
RNAcentral lists this ribosomal RNA (441 nucleotides) under uncultured bacterium. RNAcentral describes it as "partial 16S ribosomal RNA". It matches the Rfam family "Bacterial small subunit ribosomal RNA", at positions 338 to 795 of the family's 1533-position model. The record is from RNAcentral.